Molecule: RNA transcript, 2129 nt
Organism: Propithecus coquereli (Coquerel's sifaka)
Lineage: Eukaryota; Metazoa; Chordata; Mammalia; Primates; Indriidae
Gene: KLHL41
Gene name: kelch-like family member 41
Exons: 6
Source: RefSeq, a predicted model, not a curated record
CUUUUUACAGCUAGACCUGUGUGCUGCAAGGAGCUAAGGCUUUCAGUGUCCCCUUCCUUACCCAGGUUACUCACAAAAUGGAUUCCCAGCGGGAACUCGCAGAGGAACUGCGGCUUUACCAAUCCACCCUUCUUCAGGAUGGUCUAAAAGAUCUCCUGGAUGAGAAAAAAUUCAUCGAUUGCACCCUAAAAGCAGGUGACAAAAGUCUUCCUUGCCACAGAUUGAUUUUGUCAGCUUGUAGUCCUUACUUCCGUGAGUAUUUUUUAUCUGAAAUUGAUGAGCAGAAAAAAAAGGAGGUAGUGCUAGAUAACGUGGAUCCUGCUAUACUUGAUUUAAUCAUCAAGUAUCUGUACUCUGCCAGUAUUGAUCUCAAUGAUGGAAAUGUGCAAGAUAUUUUUGCAUUGGCCAGCCGUUUUCAGAUCCCCUCGGUGUUCACUGUCUGCGUUUCUUAUCUUCAGAAAAGACUUGCUCCUGGUAAUUGUCUAGCCAUCCUAAGAUUAGGACUACUUCUUGACUGCCCGAGACUUGCCAUUUCUGCCCGUGAAUUUGUGUCUGAUCGCUUUGUACAGAUUUGUAAGGAAGAGGACUUUAUGCAACUGUCUCCGCAGGAAUUGAUCUCGGUCAUUUCAAACGACAGCCUAAAUGUAGAAAAGGAAGAAGCAGUGUUUGAGGCAGUGAUGAAAUGGGUGCGAACAGACAAGGAAAACAGGGUUAAAAACCUUAGCGAAGUGUUUGAUUGUAUCCGUUUUCGCCUUAUGACAGAAAAGUAUUUUAAAGAUCAUGUUGAGAAAGAUGAUAUAAUUAAAAGCAACCCAGAACUCCAGAAAAAAAUCAAAGUUCUAAAAGAUGCUUUCGCAGGCAAACUCCCAGAACCUAGCAAAAACGCAGAGAAGACUGGGGCAGGUGAGGUGAAUGGUGAUGUUGGUGAUGAAGAUUUACUUCCUGGUUACCUGAAUGACAUUCCCAGGCAUGGAAUGUUUGUCAAAGACCUCAUCCUCUUGGUUAACGACACAGCUGCAGUGGCUUAUGAUCCCACAGAAAAUGAAUGCUACCUUACUGCACUGGCUGAGCAGAUUCCCAGAAAUCAUUCCAGCAUUGUUACCCAGCAAAAUCAGAUAUAUGUGGUAGGAGGACUAUAUGUGGAUGAAGAAAAUAAGGAUCAACCUCUACAGUCAUACUUCUUCCAACUUGAUAACAUAGCAUCUGAGUGGGUUGGACUUCCACCUCUGCCUUCAGCAAGGUGUCUCUUCGGUCUGGGAGAGGUAGAUGACAAAAUCUAUGUAGUUGCAGGCAAAGACCUUCAAACAGAGGCUUCGCUGGAUUCAGUGUUAUGCUAUGAUCCUGUGGCUACAAAAUGGAAUGAAGUAAAAAAACUUCCUAUCAAAGUCUAUGGACAUAAUGUGAUUUCACAUAAGGGGAUGAUAUAUUGUCUAGGAGGAAAGACAGAUGACAAAAAAUGUACAAACAGGGUAUUUAUCUUCAACCCCAAAAAAGGAGACUGGAAAGAUCUGGCUCCAAUGAAAACCCCUCGUUCCAUGUUUGGAGUGGCAGCCCAUAAAGGCAAAAUUGUGAUUGCAGGUGGUGUCACUGAAGAUGGUCUUUCAGCUUCAGUUGAAGCUUUUGACCUUACAACUCAAAAGUAAAUGGGAGGUAAUGACUGAAUUUCCCCAAGAAAGAAGCUCCAUCAGUUUGGUCAGCCUGGCUGGAUCUCUGUAUGCCAUCGGUGGUUUUGCUAUGAUCCAGCUGGAGUCAAAAGAGUUUGCACCCACUGAAGUCAAUGACAUAUGGAAGUAUGAAGACGAUAAAAAAGAAUGGGCCGGGAUGUUGAAGGAAAUACGCUAUGCUUCAGGAGCUAGUUGCCUAGCAACACGUUUAAAUCUCUUCAAACUGUCUAAACUGUAAACAAGGUGACAAAACAUAAUAGAUUGGGAGGCAGUUUGUUUGGUUAAUAGGGCUUUAAUUCAUUCUGUUUUUUAAAAGCUUGUACAGAGAUUCAUGUAGAAAUUAUUCAGGAAGUUAUUGUCUAAAAGGUGAGCAGUAGGUAUCAAAACCUCAAAGUCAUUCAACCUUCAAUGUAAUGAUUAGAGCUUAAAAACAUUUUCUAAUAAGAAAUUAAAUAUCCAGUUGAA